UGGGGAUUCGUCUAAUGGUAGGACAGCGGACUCUGAAUCCGUCAGUCGGGGUUCGAAUCCCUGAUCCCCAGCCA
Molecule: transfer RNA, 74 nt
Filed under: Chloroflexota bacterium
Lineage: Bacteria; Bacillati; Chloroflexota
Description: Chloroflexi bacterium tRNA-Gln
Rfam family: tRNA
About the family: Transfer RNA (tRNA) molecules are approximately 80 nucleotides in length. Their secondary structure includes four short double-helical elements and three loops (D, anti-codon, and T loops).
Source: RNAcentral